CCUACGGGUGGCAGCAGUGGGGAAUAUUGCACAAUGGGCGCAAGCCUGAUGCAGCCAUGCCGCGUGUAUGAAGAAGGCCCUAGGGUUGUAGAGUACUUUCAGUUGGGAGGAAGGCGUUGAUGCUAAUAUCAUCAACGAUUGACGUUACCAACAGAAGAAGCACCGGCUAACUCCGUGCCAGCAGCCGCGGUAAUACGGAGGGUGCAAGCGUUAAUCGGAAUUACUGGGCGUAAAGCGCACGCAGGCGGUUGAUUAAGUCAGAUGUGAAAUCCCCGGGCUUAACCUGGGAAUGGCAUCUAAGACUGGUCAGCUAGAGUCUUGUAGAGGGGGGUAGAAUUCCAUGUGUAGCGGUGAAAUGCGUAGAGACGUGGAGGAACACCGGUGGCGAAAGCGGCUCUCUGGACUGUGACUGACACUGAGGCUCGAAAGCGUGGGUAGCAAACAGGAUUAGAUACCCGUGUAGUC
RNAcentral lists this ribosomal RNA (465 nucleotides) under uncultured bacterium. RNAcentral describes it as "bacterial SSU rRNA". It matches the Rfam family "Bacterial small subunit ribosomal RNA", at positions 338 to 795 of the family's 1533-position model. The record is from RNAcentral.